This 603-nucleotide ribosomal RNA is filed under the name Plurivorosphaerella nawae. Its description in RNAcentral is "eukaryotic LSU rRNA". It matches the Rfam family "Eukaryotic large subunit ribosomal RNA", at positions 38 to 667 of the family's 3401-position model. Lineage: Eukaryota; Fungi; Ascomycota; Dothideomycetes; Mycosphaerellales; Mycosphaerellaceae. The record is from RNAcentral.
GCAUAUCAAUAAGCGGAGGAAAAGAAACCAACAGGGAUUGCCCUAGUAACGGCGAGUGAAGCGGCAACAGCUCAAAUUUGAAAUCUGGCGCAAGCCCGAGUUGUAAUUUGUAGAGGAUGCUUCUGGGCAGCGGCCGUUCUAAGUUCCUUGGAACAGGACGUCAUAGAGGGUGAGAAUCCCGUAUGUGACCGGCACGUACCCUUUACGUAGCUCCUUCGACGAGUCGAGUUGUUUGGGAAUGCAGCUCUAAAUGGGAGGUAAAUUCCUUCUAAAGCUAAAUACCGGCCAGAGACCGAUAGCGCACAAGUAGAGUGAUCGAAAGAUGAAAAGCACUUUGGAAAGAGAGUUAAAAAGCACGUGAAAUUGUUGAAAGGGAAGCGCUUACAACCAGACUUCGUGGCGGUGUUCCGCCGGUCUUCUGACCGGUUCAUUCGCCGCCGCGAGGCCAGCAUCGUCUGGGGCCGCCGGAUAAGACCUUAGGAAUGUAGCUUGCCUCGGUAAGUGUUAUAGCCUAGGGUGAUGCGGCGUGCCUCGGGCGAGGUCCGCGCUUCGGCAAGGAUGCUGGCGUAAUGGUUGUCAGCGGCCCGUCUUGAAACACGGACC